UACAAGGCUUCAGAUAUCCGUGGAGGAGAAAGUGUCUGAUCUCGUUCAAGGAAGGAGAACAUCAUACCCAGCUAAUUUCUGGGAAAAGAGCCCGCAAAUAUUUCACAUUCAUAGUCCUGGAAAAUGAUCAAUUUAGUUAAAAGUCUGGGAAAAACACAACAAAACACACUCCUCUCCCAUCUUUGCAGCUUGGAUGGCAGACUGCUGGCAGGUUCACCUGUGAACAACCUCACUGAACGAGUAUGGCAUCUCUUUCCUGAUGUGACCCUGAUACAGAAUUGCUUAUUGCUUUUAAAAUCGAGAACCAAGCCUAACUGCAAACAUUAAAAAGGUUAGCCAUCGGAGCUCUAUAGGUU
Talpa occidentalis (Iberian mole) is the source of this 356-nucleotide long non-coding RNA. RefSeq lists it as uncharacterized. Lineage: Eukaryota; Metazoa; Chordata; Mammalia; Eulipotyphla; Talpidae. The record is from RefSeq and is a predicted model, not a curated record. The transcript is spliced from 4 exons.